RNAcentral lists this ribosomal RNA (253 nucleotides) under uncultured bacterium. RNAcentral describes it as "partial 16S ribosomal RNA". It matches the Rfam family "Bacterial small subunit ribosomal RNA", at positions 524 to 776 of the family's 1533-position model. The record is from RNAcentral.
UACGUAGGGUCCAAGCGUUACUUGGAAUUACUGGGCGUAAAGCGUGCGCAGGCGGUUUUAUAAGCCAGAUGUGAAAUCCCCGGGCUUAACCUGGGAAUGGCAUUUGGGACUGCAAGGCUUGAGUGCGGCAGAGGAGACUGGAAUUCCCGGUGUAGCAGUGAAAUGCGUAGAUAUCGGGAGGAAUACCGGUGGCGAAGGCGGCGGCCUGGGGCGAGACUGACGCUGAGGCGCGAAAGCGUGGGGAGCAAACAGG